GAUGAAGAACGUAGCGAAACGCGAAAGGUAAUGCGAAUUGCAGAAUCAGUGAAUCAUCGAAUCUUUGAACGCACCUUGCGCCCUUUGGACUUCUGAAGGGCAUGCCUGUUUGAGUAUCAUGAACACCUCAACUCCUUAUGGUCUUCCAUGAUGAGCUUGGACUUUGGGGGUUUUGCUGGCCUACAGUCAGCUCCUCUAAAAUAAAUCAGCUUACCGGUGUUUGGUGGGUAUCAUGGGUGUGAUAACUAUCUACGCUCGUGGUUUUCCACCAGGUAACCUUCAGCAGUGGAGGUUCACUGGAGCUCAUAGAUGUCUCUCCUCAGCGAGGACAGCCCUUUGAAUGUUUGAUCUCAAAUCAGGUAGGACUACCCGCUGAACUUAAGCAUAUCAAUAAGCGGAGGA
Molecule: unclassified non-coding RNA, 402 nt
Filed under: soil metagenome
Description: partial contains 5.8S ribosomal RNA, internal transcribed spacer 2, and large subunit ribosomal RNA
Rfam family: 5.8S ribosomal RNA (bases 1-119)
Source: RNAcentral